AGUGAACGCUGGCGGUAGGCCUAACACAUGCAAGUCGAACGGCAGCACAGUAAGAGCUUGCUCUUACGGGUGGCGAGUGGCGGACGGGUGAGGAAUACAUCGGAAUCUACUUUUUCGUGGGGGAUAACGUAGGGAAACUUACGCUAAUACCGCAUACGACCUACGGGUGAAAGCAGGGGAUCUUCGGACCUUGCGCGAUUGAAUGAGCCGAUGUCGGAUUAGCUAGUUGGCGGGGUAAAGGCCCACCAAGGCGACGAUCCGUAGCUGGUCUGAGAGGAUGAUCAGCCACACUGGAACUGAGACACGGUCCAGACUCCUACGGGAGGCAGCAGUGGGGAAUAUUGGACAAUGGGCGCAAGCCCGAUCCAGCCAUACCGCGUGGGUGAAGAAGGCCUUCGUGUUGUAAAGCCCUUUUGUUGGGAAAGAAAAGCAGCAGGUUAAUACCCCGCUGUUCUGACGGUACCCAAAGAAUAAGCACCGGCUAACUUCGUG
Molecule: ribosomal RNA, 492 nt
Filed under: uncultured bacterium
Lineage: Bacteria
Description: partial 16S ribosomal RNA
Rfam family: Bacterial small subunit ribosomal RNA
Source: RNAcentral